GGUGCGUUAAACCUCUGCUUAAAGCCCUUUCUCUUCUCUGUGUAUGUGUAAUGUCAUCGAUCGUGAGACGAGCUAGGUCAUCUUCUCUUCCGAACUUCCUCGCAUGGCGCGCUUUGGGUUUCCGCACCAUCUGCUCCGGCGGAUUGGGCAUCGCGCCGUCUAGCUCGCCGCCGGCCUCCACGGGAAUCAAAAUUCUGGAGUCGUUUAAGGAGGAAUUCGAAGUCGGAUCUCGGGUGGUGACGCUCGAGACGGGGAAGAUCGCUCGCUUCGCAAAUGGUUCCGUCGUGCUGGGGAUGGACGAGACCAAAGUUCUCUCCACCGUUACUUGUGCCAAGUCUAAAUCUCCUGGAGAUUUCUUGCCUCUCACUGUUGAUUAUCAAGAGAAGAUGUUCGCUCAAGGUUUGAUUCCUAAUACGUAUAUGCGAAGAGAAGGUGCACCUAAAGAGCGGGAACUGUUGUGUGGCCGCCUCAUUGAUAGGCCAAUCAGACCAUUGUUUCCUUCUGGGUUUUACCAUGAGGUUCAGAUAAUGGCAAAUGUUCUAUCAUCGGAUGGGAAGCAGGAUCCAGAUAUACUUGCAGCUAAUGCAGCAUCGGCUGCGCUCAUGCUGUCGGAUGUUCCAUGGGGGGGACCCAUUGGAGUCAUCAGGUUAGGAAGGAUCGGUGGGGAGAUUGUUGUGAAUCCAACUAUGGAUGAGCUUAGCUCAAGUGAUCUUCAUUUGAUAUACGCUUGCACAAGGGAUAAAACUAUGAUGAUUGAUGUUCAAGCCCGUGAAAUCACUGAGAAAGAUCUAGCAGCUGCUCUGAGACUUGCUCAUCCAGAGGCUGUUAAGUACAUCGAUCCCCAAAUUAGAUUGGCUGCGAAAGCUGGGAAACAAAAGAAGGAGUAUAUAUUGUCCAUGCUUUCUGAGAAAACUUUAGAAAAAGUGACUGACUUGGCUGCAGAGCGUAUUGUAUCCGUCUUUACCGAUCCUUCACGUGGCAAGUUUGAACGUGGAGAGGCUCUAGAGAACAUUGGAAAAGAUGUGGAAAAAGUAUUUGAAGAAGAGGGCGAUCAAGAAAGCUUGAGCAUACUUCCAAAGGCUGUUGAUACAGUGAGAAAGAAGAUAGUUCGUUCAAGGAUGAUAUCAGAGGGAUUUCGGGUCGACGGCAGACAUCUUGAUGAAGUUAGGCCCAUCUAUUGUGAAUCGCAUCACCUGCCUGCCUUGCAUGGGUCAGCACUUUUCUCACGUGGAGACACUCAGGUGCUCUGUACUAUCACACUUGGAGCCCCAGGAGAUGCACAAAGGUUGGAUUCUCUUGUUGGCCCACCGAAGAAGAAAUUUAUGCUUCACUAUACCUUUCCUCCGUUUUGUACAGAUGAAGUUGGAAAAAAACUAGGCCUUAACCGGCGUGAAGUUGGUCAUGGAACACUUGCUGAAAAGGCAUUGCUUGCAGUCAUGCCCCCUGAAGAAGAUUUUCCUUAUACAGUUCGUAUAAAUUCAGAAGUUAUGGCUUCAGAUGGAUCCACGUCUAUGGCAAGCGUUUGUGGAGGCAGCAUGGCGUUAAUGGAUGCCGGAAUUCCUCUGCGAGCUCAUGUUGCAGGAGUCUCCGUUGGUCUUGUCACUGACGUUGAUCCAUCAAGUGGAGAAAUUAAAGACUACCGUAUAGUAACCGAUAUAUUGGGUUUGGAAGAUCAUCUAGGAGAUAUGGAUUUCAAGAUUGCGGGCACAAGAAAUGGUGUGACGGCAAUUCAACUGGAUAUCAAGCCAGCCGGAAUACCAUUGGACAUAGUUUGUGAAUCAUUAGAAAAUGCACGUAAAGCCCGUCUUCAGAUUCUUGACCAUAUGGAGAGAGAAAUUAAUUCCCCACGAGACCAGCAAUGCCGGCUAGCAACUUUGAAGUACACCAACGAUGCACUUCGUAACUUGAUCGGACCUAUGGGUGCCCUCAAGAGGAAGAUUGAAGAGGAAACAGGUGCAAGGUUGUCUAUUGAUGAUGGAACAUUAACUAUUGUUGCCAAGAAUCAGGCUGUGAUGGACAAGGCUCAAGAAAAGGUUGACUACAUCAUUGGUCGCGAAAUAGUUGUUGGUGGCGUGUACAAAGGCACAGUGACAUCUAUAAAAGAGUACGGCGCAUUUGUUGAGUUUAAUGGUGGUCAACAAGGCCUACUACAUAUGUCUGAGUUAUCUCAUGAACCAGUCUCCAAGGUUUCAGAUGUAUUACAUAUUGGCAAGUACAUCACUAUGAUGUGCAUAGACACCGAUGUCCGUGGUAACAUAAAGUUAUCCCUCAAAGCACUGUUACCCAAACCAACAUCUCGUCCUGAAAAACUCCCGGUGGUGAAAGAGGCAGUCUCCGUAGAAACGUCUAGUUUCGGGGAGGCAGUUGCAAGCCUGCCCAGUGUCGUAGAGCCGCCUCAGAAAUCUAAAUUAGCAGUUCCUGCAGUUGUCAUCCGUACUGCUGUGGAAUGUGAUGAGGCAGAGAAAUCUUCUCAUGUGGACAAGAACACUAAACCUAAAUGCGCCGCGACAGUGAAGCCAGACCGGAAACUCAAAUCCACUGCCUCUAAACAGACCGUGAAGGAAGAUGAGACACUCAGCUCCACUGCUACUGAAGAAAGUCGGGAUGACUGUGGUGAGACACUGACGCAAGAAAAUAAACUCAAUUGCACUUCUCUUGAAAACAAUUCUAACAUAGUAUCAUCUUCAAAAGGUAAGAAACCCUCUAGGAAGGAGAAACAAUCAGAUAACGAGGCUGGAGAGAGUCCAUCGAUUAGUGCCCGGAAACUGAAAAUAGGAACAGAAAUGACAGCCAAAGUCCACCAGAUUCGAACGCAUGGACUGGUUCUUGAUCUAGGUGGUGGAAUCCGCGGUAUGUACAAAUUCGAGGGCGAUGAGGAGACAGAGUUUGAGAUUGGAGACACAUUGCAGGUGAAAUGUACAAGUUUUAGCAGUAAAGGAAUCCCUGUGAUGGCUUUGGUUGAUGAAGAAGAUGUUUAAUGGCUGAGUAGUCUUGUAGUUUGGCCUUGGUUCGGCUUAGUUGUGAGAACUGGAGAGUAGGAUCGAGGAGGAAUUGAACCAGACCGGUAAUUUUGGCGUACCGUUUUGUCUCUAUACUUUUUUUUUAGCAAAUAUGAACAAAUAAAAAGGAUGUUUAUCAAGGAUUAUCAGAGAGUAUUUAGGUAGGUGACGCUCUUCCCUUGUAAACAUGAUGGAAUAUCAAUCAAUGACCAUAGACCAGGAUGUGUAUUAAUGUUUAUUUGAAUCUAGACAUAUUAAAAACUUUC
Molecule: RNA transcript, 3265 nt
Organism: Brassica oleracea var. oleracea
Lineage: Eukaryota; Viridiplantae; Streptophyta; Magnoliopsida; Brassicales; Brassicaceae
Gene name: polyribonucleotide nucleotidyltransferase 2, mitochondrial-like
Exons: 18
Source: RefSeq, a predicted model, not a curated record